This 215-nucleotide long non-coding RNA is filed under the name Zostera marina. RNAcentral describes it as "long non-coding RNA (ZMAR_LNC004586)". The record is from RNAcentral. Lineage: Eukaryota; Viridiplantae; Streptophyta; Magnoliopsida; Alismatales; Zosteraceae.
CUGCUGGAACUUCGCGUGCUUCCCGCGCGCAAGGUACGAACGUCGCUCCCUCUGCUGUCGCUGAUCCAACGCCCCUUCCGAGGCGGCGCCGGCCGCGAGGUCCUCGUCGCUCCCGCGGGUCUUCGUCCCUCCCGGCCUAUGACCUGCGCCACUUUUUGUCGGGAUCCUCGAAGCCAGCCCCUUAAGUUCGUCCGGGGGACGUCCGCGACCGCGAC